GUAGGUGGCAAGCGUUGUCCGGGAAUUAUUGGGGCGUAAAGCGCGCGCAGGCGGUUCUUUAAGUCUGAUGUGAAAGCCCACGGGCUCAACCGUGGAGGGUCAUUGGAAACUGGAGAACUUGAGUACAGAAGAGGAAAGCGGAAUUCCACGUGUAGCGGUGAAAUGCGUAGAGAUGUGGAGGAACACCAGUGGCGAAGGCGGCUUUCUGGUCUGUAACUGACGCUGAGGCGCGAAAGCGUGGGGAGCAAACAGGAUUAGAUACCCUGGUAGUCCACGCCGUAAACGAUGAGUGCUAGGUGUUAGGGGGUUUCCGCCCCUUAGUGCUGCAGCUAACGCAUUAAGCACUCCGCCUGGGGAGUACGGCCGCAAAGGCUG
RNAcentral lists this ribosomal RNA (375 nucleotides) under uncultured organism. RNAcentral's name for it is "partial 16S ribosomal RNA". It matches the Rfam family "Bacterial small subunit ribosomal RNA", at positions 527 to 896 of the family's 1533-position model. The record is from RNAcentral.